This 648-nucleotide ribosomal RNA is filed under the name Kappaphycus sp. AIMST-MSR2. Its description in RNAcentral is "eukaryotic LSU rRNA". It matches the Rfam family "Eukaryotic large subunit ribosomal RNA", at positions 1263 to 1919 of the family's 3401-position model. Lineage: Eukaryota; Rhodophyta; Florideophyceae; Gigartinales; Solieriaceae. The record is from RNAcentral.
GGAAUCCGCUAAGGAGUGUGUAACAACUCACCUGCCGAAUGAAUUAGCCCUGAAAAUGGAUGGCGCUGAAGCGGGCUGCCGACACCGUGCCGUCUGGGCGAGAAAGGCCCCAGAUGAGUAGGAGGGCGUGGCGGCCGUAUCGAAGCACGCGUGCAAACGCGUGUGGAACGGCCGCUAGUGCAGAUCUUGGUGGUAGUAGCAAGUAUUCAAGCGAGAUCCUUGAAGGGCGAAGCGGGGAAGGGUUCCACGCGAACAUUGAUUGGGCGUGGGUGAGUCGUUCCUAAGCCGAGUGGCGAUUGCUAAGUAGCGGCGAAAGGGAAGCGGGUUGAAAUUCCCGCACACGGAUGUGGACGCGGUGACGCGAGUGAUGGGGCGAAGACGCUGGCGACGGCGCUGGGCAGAGUUGUCUUUUCUGUUUGACCAGUUUGCGCGCGCGGUGUGGAAUCCGCUUGUCGGGAGAAACACGCGUGUGCGGGCAGAGCGCCGGGGCUUUUCCGGCGUCCAGCUCGCCGUCGACGGCCCUUGAAAAUUUGCCUGCUGAAAAUCUUUGAUUUGAAAUCCACGCCGUGGCGUACCGAUCACCGCAUCAGGUCCCCAAGGUGAACAGCCUCUGCUCAGUAUGAAUAAUGCAGGUAAGGGAAGUCGGCA